RNAcentral lists this ribosomal RNA (279 nucleotides) under uncultured bacterium. Its description in RNAcentral is "partial 16S ribosomal RNA". It matches the Rfam family "Bacterial small subunit ribosomal RNA", at positions 506 to 784 of the family's 1533-position model. The record is from RNAcentral.
UGCAAGCCGCCGCGGUAAUACGGAGGGUGCACGCGUUGUUCGGCAUUAUUGGGCGUAAAGCGCGUGUAGGCGGUUCGUACAGUCUGAUGUGAAAGCCCGGGGCUCAACCCCGGAAGUGCAUUGGAAACUGGCGAACUUGAGUACGGGAGAGGAAAGUGGAAUUCCGAGUGUAGGGGUGAAAUCCGUAGAUAUUCGGAGGAACACCAGUGGCGAAGGCGGCUUUCUGGACCGAUACUGACGCUGAGAAGCGAAAGCGUGGGGAGCAAACAGGAUUAGAUA